This 88-nucleotide transfer RNA is filed under the name Dehalococcoidia bacterium. RNAcentral describes it as "tRNA-Tyr". It matches the Rfam family "tRNA". Rfam says of the family: Transfer RNA (tRNA) molecules are approximately 80 nucleotides in length. Their secondary structure includes four short double-helical elements and three loops (D, anti-codon, and T loops). The record is from RNAcentral. Lineage: Bacteria; Bacillati; Chloroflexota; Dehalococcoidia.
GGAGGGGUGGCGGAGCGGCCAAACGCACCAGACUGUAAAUCUGGCGCCCGGAAGGGCUUCGUAGGUUCGAAUCCUACCCCCUCCACCA